UUUAAAAGUGUCAGUUCGCCACAAUUCAAUCCAAGACAUGUACUAUUUUUAAAUUAAAUUAAAUGCUCUGCCAGUCUCAUGACACAUCUUUCUUUGCACACCAUAUUUUUCAUUUCCUGUUGCUUUCCUUUUCUCUUUCUUUUGCUUUCCCAUUCUUUCCCCGAAUUUUCUUCUCUUCACCUUUCGCAGGGGUUUUCUCUAUUGUCCUCAGUACUUGACUGUUCACAUGGCCGGAAUCAAGUUGCCGUCGGAGGAUGUAGAAACCAAACCGCCUUCUCUAGAGUUCUUUCCCUAUCGAUAAUCUCACACCCACUAAAUGGGUUUUGUAUAGCUGAUGGUCUGUGAUUUCAGCAUCGUUUCUCCUUAACCUUUCACAUAAGCUCUACGAAAGCGCAAAACUGCUGCUCUCGAGGUUUUAUUUUAUAUUUGCUUUUCUUUCCGUUACAAUUUUGCUUGAUAUGGUAAUAUCUAAAUUUUUAAUUAUACGUUUUGUUUUAUUUUUUUUCUUUUGGGUUGAUUGGAUCUAGGUAGAAGGGAUACUGAAUCAAUUGCCGCAACUGGAGAUCAUGAUAUAAUUAUUGCAGGGAUGUAGCAAUUUGUUUGAUUUAGUGUAAUUUUUAUGUUACAAAGCCAGUGUUGGAAGCUAGGGGCAAAAGUAGAGUUUGAAUGAUGAGAAAAACAAAAUUAUAUUGGCUUGAAAUUUUUUUAUGUGUACUUAAGAUUUUGAAUGGUGAAUAGUUGAUUAUAUAUUAUUGUUGUAAAUAAAUAUUAAUUGUUGAAUUCGGAUUAUUGAUCAAGAUUUUGUCUUUCACUGCUUGGUUUUAAUUUAUAUAAAUGCAUUUAAAGAACUUAAAUUUUUCAAAAUUGUUUCUUUAUUAUAUUGAGCAUAAUCUGGAAAUGAUAGUGAAAAUGAUUAUAGAUCAUUUGAACUUCUAUCUUCAAAUUAAGCAUCACUUUGUAGUUAUUCUUAAGGUAGAAUCAUAUUCUGCUUGACACUAACGUGUAACUAAUUUCUAGAAUAUAUUGAACUAAGCGUAGACAUUCAUUUCAUUGUGUUGGCCAAGUAUGUCUUAGAACACAAAUUUACCUACUUAGCCCAUGUUUGACCCCCAUUACCUAAAAAUGAAAAUGGGGGAAAUAGUAUUUUUUUUUAAAAAAAAUGAGUGAUUGAAAAAGAAGGAAAAGUUUUCGAUUUACGUGUAAUAUUAUUUUAUGGAAGAUUGUGUGGUUGAAAGUAGAAGAGAGAAAAAAUAGAAUGUAAUGUAAUUGAAUUUAAUGGGGAUCAAAUAGGGGUUUAAUCUUGUAGUCGAGUUUGUUUUAUUGUUUACUAGGGUUGAAGGAUUUUUCGAAGGGUGUUUGAUUCUUCCUCAUUCAUGAUGACAAAGACGAGAUCAAAAUUCGAGGAAUUGGAAUACUUGGGUAAAUUAUUAGUCUUCAUAUCUUUGGUUUUAGAAAUAGUGCCCUACAUUGUCAAUCUUUUCCUUCUAAUGUUUGUGAAUAUAUCUUGCUCUCUAUGUAUUGAUGCGGUGAGAUAUUUAGGGUUUUGAGAUUCAAGAUUGGUGACUGAUGGAAUCAGGGAUGGAUCAGUACGAGAUCAUGGAGAAAAUUGGUCAAGAAGCUUUUGGGGCAGCCAUUUUUUUCAAUCACAAGCUGGAAAGAAAAAAAGUAUAUCAUAUGAAAUUAUAUUAGUUCCAUUCAUUUUCGUAUGAUUUUGCAAAAACUGUUUUGAAAAGUUCGCAAAAAUGUAACAGUUUUUUCCCCUUAUUCUUGAAAUGAAAAAUAGGUACAUGCUUAAGAAGAUUUGGUUGGCUCGACGAAUAGAAUGUUAUAGAAGAUAUGCUCAUCUAGAGUUAUAGUGAUGUAAUUUUACCUUUUAUAAUUUAUUUAUUUUUUUGUUGUAUUAUUUAAGUUUCAUGACUAAGAAUUUGUUUUGUGUACUAAUUUGUUUGUUAGAUUAGAUUGGAAAUCUUGAUUCUUUAUUGAGUAAUUUGCUUUAGUAACCUCAAUAUUGGUG
RNAcentral lists this long non-coding RNA (2014 nucleotides) under Olea europaea subsp. europaea. Lineage: Eukaryota; Viridiplantae; Streptophyta; Magnoliopsida; Lamiales; Oleaceae. The record is from RNAcentral.